GAUGAACGCUGGCGGCGUGCCUAAUACAUGCAAGUCGAGCGAACAGAUGAGGAGCUUGCUCCUCUGACGUUAGCGGCGGACGGGUGAGUAACACGUGGAUAACCUACCUAUAAGACUGGGAUAACUUCGGGAAACCGGAGCUAAUACCGGAUAAUAUAUUGAACCGCAUGGUUCAAUAGUGAAAGACGGUUUUGCUGUCACUUAUAGAUGGAUCCGCGCCGCAUUAGCUAGUUGGUAAGGUAACGGCUUACCAAGGCAACGAUGCGUAGCCGACCUGAGAGGGUGGUCGGCCACCCUGGAACUGGGGCCCCGUCCAGGCUCCUUCGGGGGGCCGGAGUUAGGGAUCUUCCGCAAUGGGCGAAAGCCUGACGGAGCCACGGCGCGUGAGGGAUGAAGGGCUUCGGAUCGUAAAACUCCGUUAUUUGGGAAGAACAAAUUUGGAAGUUACUAUGGCCCUCUUGGCGGGACCUAAUCAGAAAGCCACGGCUAACUACGU
Molecule: ribosomal RNA, 496 nt
Filed under: uncultured bacterium
Lineage: Bacteria
Description: partial 16S ribosomal RNA
Rfam family: Bacterial small subunit ribosomal RNA
Source: RNAcentral